RNAcentral lists this transfer RNA (73 nucleotides) under Fasciola hepatica (liver fluke). RNAcentral's name for it is "tRNA-Val". The record is from RNAcentral. Lineage: Eukaryota; Metazoa; Platyhelminthes; Trematoda; Plagiorchiida; Fasciolidae.
GGCUCCGGAUAGCCUUAUGGUCAAGGUGUUUGACUCACAAUCAAUCAACCCGGGUUCGAGUCCCCAGGGGCUC